AAAAAAAGCUAGUAAACAGGCUAUUAAUAAAUGAAUAUAUAUUUUUUAUGAUUUCAUGUUUUAUUUGUUCAGGGCAUUAUCUGUGACUGUGUAGAAUCUGUCGAGAUGGCUUUGAUUUCUUGAUUUGAUUUUCUGAUGCGUCUUCCUAAUGAGCACCUUGACCUAACAUCGACUUUACACGUCAGCCUUAUCUUAUGGUUAAAUUUUAGCUGAGCAGCUUGUAAAAAUAUAAAUCUGUUCAGAGUUCAUUUAUGAAAAUCACAAGAGAAAUGUGAACAGCUUUUAGUUGAUAUGCUGCUGUCUAGAGGUUAAUGGAACGAUGGUUGGUUCAUUAAUGAUUGGACUGAGGUAGGUUUGAAAAAAAUAAUAUUAAUUUACUGUUUAAAUCUGCACUUUAAUGUUUUUUUUUCAUUGACUACUGUAAUGUCAGUGUAUUUUCAUGUGUAUUAAUCUAUAUUUAGUGAGUGCCUUUUGUAUUAAUACAGAAAUAUAACAGAACUAUGCUGUGAAAAUGUAUCCAAAUAGAAUGUUUCACAUUCGAAUAUAAGAUUUAAGAAUAUCAAAGUUUCUUCUAGCAGCAGUGUCUGAAAGUAUUGAGUUUUGCUGGACUGAAAAAGGCAUCUGGUUUUGACAGGUAAUUAUACAAAUCUGUUUUGCUUACUUUAUAUACAAAGACCUUAUUAAAUAAACAGAACUUUAACCCUCUCAACUUGUUUGUGCAUGUUAUACAAAUAGGAUCUUUUUUAUUUUUAAUUAUUAUUAUUAUUAUUAUUAUUAUUAUCAUUAUUAUUGUAUUGUGUGUUUAUUAGUGUUACAUGUUAACAAUACACUUUAAAGGGCACCAAAGUGUUACAUGUUUUUAAUAUUCCUUGAGUAUAUCUUAAGUAAUUUGUUACAUAAUCUUGUUCUGUGAGUUCCUGGACUGUUGCCUCUACAAUGAGUGUCAAUGAGAGAAGAGGAGAGGAAGGUGCUGCUCGGACAAAUAAAGCAGUAUCUCCAAAACCCUGUCUUGAGUCUAUGAAGAGCUUCGAGUCCAUUGGCAGCCCCCCUAACAUUAAUGAUUCCAAAUCCAGCAAUGCCUUUAAAGAAGAGGGUGCUGUUCAGACAUAUAAAGCAGCAUCUCAAAAACAUGGUCUUGUGUCUAUGAAGAGCUUUGAAUCCAUUGGCAGCCCCCCUAAUUUUAGUGAUUCCAGCAAUUCCUUUAGUAAGAACGGUCUUGUUUUAAUGUUUCGGUCCCAUUUUGAUUCAUGUAAAGGUUUUUAAAAUUUCAUUAUACACUACUAGUCAAAAAGUCUUUGGACAGUAAGUUUUAAUGUUUUUUUUUUUAUUAUUAUUAUUAUUAUUUUUAAUAAUUCUCUUCUGCUCACCAAACCUGCAUUAUUUUUUAAUCAAAAAUACAGCAAAAGCACUUAUAUUGUGAAAUAUUUUUACUAUUUAAAAUAACUGCUUUAUAUUUUAAUAUAUUAAAAAAUGUAAUUU
Cyprinus carpio (common carp) is the source of this 1479-nucleotide long non-coding RNA. Lineage: Eukaryota; Metazoa; Chordata; Actinopteri; Cypriniformes; Cyprinidae. The record is from Ensembl.